UACGAAGGGGGCUAGCGUUGCUCGGAAUUACUGGGCGUAAAGGGCGCGUAGGCGGACAGUUUAGUCAGAGGUAAAAGCCCAGGGCUCAACCUUGGAACUGCCUUUGAUACUGACUGUCUUGAGUUCGGGAGAGGUGAGUGGAAUGCCGAGUGUAGAGGUGAAAUUCGUAGAUAUUCGGCGGAACACCAGUGGCGAAGGCGACUCACUGGCCCGAUACUGACGCUGAGGCGCGAAAGCGUGGGGAGCAAACAGA
This 253-nucleotide ribosomal RNA is filed under the name uncultured bacterium. Its description in RNAcentral is "partial 16S ribosomal RNA". It matches the Rfam family "Bacterial small subunit ribosomal RNA", at positions 524 to 776 of the family's 1533-position model. The record is from RNAcentral.